AUUGAACGCUGGCGGCAGGCCUAACACAUGCAAGUCGAGCGGAUGAAGGGAGCUUGCUCCUGGAUUCAGCGGCGGACGGGUGAGUAAUGCCUAGGAAUCUGCCUGGUAGUGGGGGAUAACGUCCGGAAACGGGCGCUAAUACCGCAUACGUCCUGAGGGAGAAAGUGGGGGAUCUUCGGACCUCACGCUAUCAGAUGAGCCUAGGUCGGAUUAGCUAGUUGGUGGGGUAAAGGCCUACCAAGGCGACGAUCCGUAACUGGUCUGAGAGGAUGAUCAGUCACACUGGAACUGAGACACGGUCCAGACUCCUACGGGAGGCAGCAGUGGGGAAUAUUGGACAAUGGGCGAAAGCCUGAUCCAGCCAUGCCGCGUGUGUGAAGAAGGUCUUCGGAUUGUAAAGCACUUUAAGUAGGGAGGAAGGGAAGUAAGUUAAUACAUGGCUGUUCUGACGGUACCAACAGAAUAAGCACCGGCUAACUUCGUG
Molecule: ribosomal RNA, 484 nt
Filed under: uncultured bacterium
Lineage: Bacteria
Description: partial 16S ribosomal RNA
Rfam family: Bacterial small subunit ribosomal RNA
Source: RNAcentral